This 393-nucleotide ribosomal RNA is filed under the name uncultured bacterium. RNAcentral's name for it is "partial 16S ribosomal RNA". It matches the Rfam family "Bacterial small subunit ribosomal RNA", at positions 523 to 918 of the family's 1533-position model. The record is from RNAcentral.
AUACGUAGGUGACAAGCGUUAUCCGGAUUUACUGGGCGUAAAGGGCGUGUAGGCGGUCUUGCAAGUCAGAAGUGAAAUUCCUGAGCUCAACUCGGGCGCUGCUUCUGAAACUGCAGGACUUGAGUGCUGGAGGGGAUAGCGGAAUUCCUAGUGGAGCGGUAAAAUGCGCAGAUAUUAGGAAGAACACCGGUGGCGAAGGCGGCUAUCUGGACAGUAACUGACGCUGAGGCGCGAAAGCGUGGGGAGCAAACAGGAUUAGAUACCCUGGUAGUCCACGCAGUAAACGAUGAUGGCUAACCGCUGGUUUAUUCGGAUCAGUGGCCAAGCGAAAGCGAUAAGCCAUCCACCUGGGGAGUACGACCGCAAGGUUGAAACUCAAAGGAAUUGACGGGG